RNAcentral lists this unclassified non-coding RNA (335 nucleotides) under soil metagenome. RNAcentral describes it as "partial contains 5.8S ribosomal RNA, internal transcribed spacer 2, and large subunit ribosomal RNA". The stretch from base 1 to 120 matches the Rfam family "5.8S ribosomal RNA", at positions 35 to 154 of the family's 154-position model. The record is from RNAcentral.
GAUGAAGAACGUAGCGAAAUGCGAUAAGUAGUGUGAAUUGCAGAAUUCAGUGAAUCAUCGAAUCUUUGAACGCACAUUGCUCCCCUUGGUAUUCCAUGGGGCAUGCCUGUUCGAGCGUCAUUUGUACCCUCAAGCUUUGCUUGGUGUUGGGUGUUUGUCUCGCCUUUGCGUGUAGACUCGCCUUAAAAUAAUUGGCAGCCGGCGUAUUGAUUUCGGAGCGCAGUACAUCUCGCGCUUUGCACUCAUAACGACAGCGUCCAAAAGUACAUUUUACACUCUUGACCUCGGAUCAGGUAGGGAUACCCGCUGAACUUAAGCAUAUCAUAAGCGGAGGA